GACGAACGCUGGCGGCGUGCCUAAUACAUGCAAGUAGAACGCUGAAGAGAGGAGCUUGCUCUUCUUAGAUGAGUUGCGAACGGGUGAGUAACGCGUAGGUAACCUGCCUUGUAGCGGGGGAUAACUAUUGGAAACGAUAGCUAAUACCGCAUAACAAUGGAUGACACAUGUCAUUUAUUUGAAAGGGGCAAUUGCUCCACUACAAGAUGGACCUGCGUUGUAUUAGCUAGUAGGUGAGGUAAUGGCUCACCUAGGCGACGAUACAUAGCCGACCUGAGAGGGUGAUCGGCCACACUGGGACUGAGACACGGCCCAGACUCCUACGGGAGGCAGCAGUAGGGAAUCUUCGGCAAUGGGGGCAACCCUGACCGAGCAACGCCGCGUGAGUGAAGAAGGUUUUCGGAUCGUAAAGCUCUGUUGUAAGUCAAGAACGGGUGUGAGAGUGGAAAGUUCACACUGUGACGGUAGCUUACCAGAAAGGGACGGCUAACUACGUG
This 497-nucleotide ribosomal RNA is filed under the name uncultured bacterium. RNAcentral's name for it is "partial 16S ribosomal RNA". It matches the Rfam family "Bacterial small subunit ribosomal RNA", at positions 28 to 507 of the family's 1533-position model. The record is from RNAcentral.